GUUAAAAAUAUCCUUUCUGUUUAAAUUAUUUUUAAAUAAAAAAAUAAAAAAAAUUGACCUUACUUUUGUAGAAUGGAAAGCAUCUGGCGUUUUGUUUUGACAAGUUAACGGCGCGACGUUUAAUUCAUAUUUUGAAAGUUUGAAUUAAAAUUUUAAUAAAUUUUAAUAUCAUCAAGACACUUUUUAAGCAGUUUUGACUAUGGAAGAAAAGAAAAAAAGGGGAUGUAAUUACACGACAUUUGAAAAAGAGAUUCUUUUAAACCUCGUAAACAAAUAUAAGGAUGUUCUAGAAAAUAAGGAGACGAAUGCGUCUAUUAUUUCAAAGAAAAGAAAUAGUUGGGACUCUGUGUGCCAGCAGUAUAACUCCGUAGCUGUGAGUGGCACCAGGACUUGGCAACAACUCCGACACUUAUAUGAAAAUAUUAAGCAACGGUCGAAGAAGAAUUUUGCUGAAAUCAAUCGGCUUCAAUUUUAUGAAAAAACUAAGGAAA
Papilio machaon (common yellow swallowtail) is the source of this 491-nucleotide long non-coding RNA. RefSeq lists it as uncharacterized. The transcript has 3 exons. The record is from RefSeq and is a predicted model, not a curated record. Lineage: Eukaryota; Metazoa; Arthropoda; Insecta; Lepidoptera; Papilionidae.